This 1299-nucleotide ribosomal RNA is filed under the name Mirax sp. QL-2014. Its description in RNAcentral is "16S ribosomal RNA". Lineage: Eukaryota; Metazoa; Arthropoda; Insecta; Hymenoptera; Braconidae. The record is from RNAcentral.
UUAUUUUAAAAUAUUAAAUUUUAUAUAAAUUAAUAAAUUUAAUUAACAAAAAUUAUUUAAUAAAUUUAAGUUUAUUAAUAAAUUUUAAAAAAUUAAUAAUUUAAAAUAAAUUUAAAUUAAAUUAUAAAUUUAUAAAAGAAAAAUAAUAAUUUUUACCUUUUGUAUCAGGGUUUAUUAAAAUAAUUUAUUAAAAAUAAAUUUCUCGAAUUUAAAAAAUUUAAUUUAAUAAAUAUAAUAAAAUAUAAAUUUUGUAUAAAAUAUUAAAUUAGAAACAAAAUAUUAACCAAUUUUAAAUAUAUCUAGUUAUUUAAUAAUCAAAUUUAAUUUAUAAGUAAUAUUAUAAUAAAAUUUAACUUAAAAUAUUUAUUAAAUUUACUUAAAUAAAUUUAAGUAUAAACUUAAAUUUAAUAUUAAAAAUUCAUAUUAUACAUAUUUUAUUAAAUAAUAAUAAAAUUUUAUUUUAUUAAAAAAAAAUUAUUCUAUAUUUAAAUUAAUAAUUUUAUUUAAAAAAAAUUUUAAAUAAUCAUUAAAUUAUAAUAAAAAAUAAUAAUUAAUUAAAAAUAAUGAUAAAAUUAGUAAAUAAAAUAUAAUUAUAAAAAUAAAAUUUAUUAAUUAAAAUUAAAUUUAUAAACUAGGCAAAUUUAUAUUCACCUGUUUAACAAAAACAUGUCUUACUGAUUAAAAUUUUAAGUCAAAUCUGCUCAAUGAAACAAAUUUAAAUAGCUGCAGUAUAAAUAACUGUACAAAGGUAGCAUAAUAAUUAGUUUUUUAAUUAAAAACUAGAAUGAAAGAUUUAAUGAAAUAUAAACUUUAUUAAAUUAAUAAAAAUUUAACUUUUUAUUUAAUUUAAAAAAAUUAAAUAAAAUUAAAAGACGAGAAGACCCUAUAGAAUUUCAUUUUUUUUUUAAUUAAAAUUAAAACAUCUUUUAAUUAUAAAAAAUUUAAUUGGGGGAAUUUUAAAAUAUCAUAAAUUUUUAAAUAAUUAAACAAAAAUUUUUGUAUAAAUUAUAUUUUUUAAAAAAAAUAAAUUAAAUUACCUUAGGGAUAACAGCAUAAUUUUUUUUUAAAGUUCAAAUUUAUAAAAAAGUUUAUGACCUCGAUGUUGAAUUAAGAUAAAAUUUAAAUGUAAAAAUUUAAAAAUUUAAGUCUGUUCGACUUUUAAAAUCUUACAUGAUUUGAGUUAAGAUCGGUGUAAGCCAGAUCGGAUUCUAUCUUUAAUUUAAAUUAAUAUUUUUGUACGAAAGGAAUUAAUAUUAAAAAUAAUUUUUUAUUAAAAAUAUAUAUAUUACAAAAUUAUAA